GGGGGAUAUUGCACAAUGGAGGGAACUCUGAUGCAGCGACGCCGCGUGAGGGAAGAAGGUCUUCGGAUUGUAAACCUCUGUCCUUGGUGACGAAACAAAUGACGGUAGCCAAGGAGGAAGCUCCGGCUAACUACGUGCCAGCAGCCGCGGUAAUACGUAGGGAGCAAGCGUUGUCCGGAUUUACUGGGUGUAAAGGGUGCGUAGGUGGCUCUGCAAGUCAGGCGUGAAAUAUAUGGGCUUAACCCAUAGACUGCGUUUGAAACUGUGGAGCUUGAGUGAAGUAGAGGUAGGCGGAAUUCCCGGUGUAGCGGUGAAAUGCGUAGAGAUCGGGAGGAACACCAGUGGCGAAGGCGGCCUGCUGGGCCUUAACUGACGCUGAGGCACGAAAGCAUGGGUAGCAAAC
RNAcentral lists this ribosomal RNA (403 nucleotides) under uncultured bacterium. Its description in RNAcentral is "bacterial SSU rRNA". It matches the Rfam family "Bacterial small subunit ribosomal RNA", at positions 356 to 773 of the family's 1533-position model. The record is from RNAcentral.